GACGAACGCUGGCGGCGUGCUUAACACAUGCAAGUCGAACGGAAAGGCCUGCUUUCCCUUGUGGAUUGCGGGUACUCGAGUGGCGAACGGGUGAGUAACACGUGAGUGAUCUGCCCCCAACUUGGGUAUAAGCCUGGGAAACUGGGUCUAAUUCCCGAUAGGACUGCAGGGCGGUGCCUGUGGUGGAAAACGAUUUUCUAGUGGUUGGGGAUGAGCUCGCGGCCUAUCAGCUUGUUGGUGGGGUAAUGGCCUACCAAGGCGGCGACGGGUAGCCGGCCUGAGAGGGUGGACGGCCACAUUGGGACUGAGAUACGGCCCAGACUCCUAUGGGAGGCAGCAGUGGGGAAUAUUGCACAAUGGGCGGAAGCCUGAUGCAGCGACGCCGCGUGGGGGAUGACGGCCUUCGGGUUGUAAACUCCUUUCGACCGCGAGGAAGCCACCUGGUUGGAAGGGUGGUGACGGUAGUGGUAGAAGAAGCACCGGCUAACUACGUG
This 494-nucleotide ribosomal RNA is filed under the name uncultured bacterium. RNAcentral's name for it is "partial 16S ribosomal RNA". It matches the Rfam family "Bacterial small subunit ribosomal RNA", at positions 28 to 507 of the family's 1533-position model. The record is from RNAcentral.